GACGAACGCUGGCGGCGUGCUUAACACAUGCAAGUCGAACGGAAAGGCCCUGCUCUUGUGGGGUGCUCGAGUGGCGAACGGGAGAGUAACACGUGAGUAACCUGACCUUGACUUUGGGAUAACUUCAGGAAACUGGGGCGAAUACCGGAUAGGAGCUCCUGCGGCAGGGGGGUGGUUGGAAAGUUUCGGCGGUUGGGGUUGGCCUCGCGGCUUAUCAGCUUGUUGGUGGGGUAGUGGCUUACCAAGGCUUUGACGGGUGGCCGGCCUGCGAGGGUGCUCGGCCACAUUGGGGCCUAGAUCGGGCCCAGACUGCUACGGGUGUCAGCAGUGGGGAAUAUUGCACAAUGGGCGGAGGCGUGAGGCAGCAGCGCCGCGUGCGGGAUGACGGCCUUCGGGUUGUAAACCGCUUUCGCCUGUGACGAAGCGUGAGUGACGGUAAUGGGUAUAGAAGCCCCGGCUAACUACGUG
RNAcentral lists this ribosomal RNA (468 nucleotides) under uncultured bacterium. RNAcentral describes it as "partial 16S ribosomal RNA". It matches the Rfam family "Bacterial small subunit ribosomal RNA", at positions 28 to 507 of the family's 1533-position model. The record is from RNAcentral.